RNAcentral lists this ribosomal RNA (429 nucleotides) under Pseudomonadota bacterium. RNAcentral describes it as "Proteobacteria bacterium partial 16S ribosomal RNA". It matches the Rfam family "Bacterial small subunit ribosomal RNA", at positions 355 to 776 of the family's 1533-position model. Lineage: Bacteria; Pseudomonadati; Pseudomonadota. The record is from RNAcentral.
UGGGGAAUAUUGGACAAUGGGCGAAAGCCUGAUCCAGCCAUGCCGCGUGUGUGAAGAAGGUCUUCGGAUUGUAAAGCACUUUAAGUUGGGAGGAAGGGCAGUAAGCGAAUACCUUGCUGUUUUGACGUUACCGACAGAAGAAGCACCGGCUAACUCUGUGCCAGCAGCCGCGGUAAUACAGAGGGUGCAAGCGUUAAUCGGAAUUACUGGGCGUAAAGCGCGCGUAGGUGGUUCGUUAAGUUGAAUGCGAAAGCCCCGGGCUCAACCUGGGAACUGCAUCCAAAACUGGCGAGCUAGAGUAGGGCAGAGGGUGGUGGAAUUUCCUGUGUAGCGGUGAAAUGCGUAGAUAUAGGAAGGAACACCAGUGGCGAAGGCGACCACCUGGGCUCAUACUGACACUGAGGUGCGAAAGCGUGGGGAGCAAACAGG